This is a long non-coding RNA of Lagopus leucura (white-tailed ptarmigan), 479 nucleotides long. RefSeq lists it as uncharacterized. The transcript is spliced from 2 exons. NCBI's taxonomy places the organism in Eukaryota, Metazoa, Chordata, Aves, Galliformes, Phasianidae. The record is from RefSeq and is a predicted model, not a curated record.
UGCAGUGAAUCAUCUGUGCAUGGUAGGAAAACGCACCAAUCGUUGGGGGUUUUCAGACCUUUCCAGGCAAACCGAAGAAGCAGGAGCCGGGCGUGGAGGGACUGAAUCCUACUCAGCAUCCUGUGGGCUGCCCACUCGCAUGGCACGGAGCCCUGGGGAUGCCAUAUGGUGCUUCACCGAGCCUCCAGGACGCAGAGCUGGGAGGGCCCCUGAGGCAGUGGGCACGGAGCGGUGGUUCAUCGGGUCACGGGAACACGCCGGCAGCGGGCACUAGGGGGCUGCACGCUCCUGCUGUUGCUGUCGGAGGAGCUCAGAGAGCGGCCGUUCUGCUAUGGGCUCGAUGACCCGAUGGAGAGAGCAGCGUAACUUCGGAAAACCAUCCACUGCGUACCUGAGGUGGUGGCUUUUUUUUUUUGUUCCUAAAUAUGAGUUCCUCUUACAGCUAUCAGGAGGAAAUUAAAGCGCCCUCUGGUACAGCA